Prunus mume (Japanese apricot) is the source of this 903-nucleotide non-coding RNA. NCBI's taxonomy places the organism in Eukaryota, Viridiplantae, Streptophyta, Magnoliopsida, Rosales, Rosaceae. The record is from RefSeq and is a predicted model, not a curated record.
UUCAUUCAGUUCACAUACCCACUCCCUUCAUCUCGCACACCCUAACCUGCUCUGACGCCGACAAAGCAAUCAGUCACUGACGUCGGCCAAGCACUCGUAUGGACAUACCCACUCUCUUCCCCCAAGAUUUCUGAUGGCCUGGGUUAUUUUCCACUGCCUCUGCCCCAGACCAUCUACCCUUCAGUUCUCCAGAAUUUUCAGAAUCUCUACAGCCCCUACAGCCACAACCACGCAGUGAUUCAAAGGUUGUUGUAGCCCCUCAACCAUUGAAUUGACAAAGUCCUCCUCUCACGACUUCUUUCAUAUGGUGCCUUUAUGUUAGGAUGAUACUUAAGAUGGCUGUUAGCUUAAGCAAUAAUAAUAGGCCACAUCUCAGCGUGUGUCUCAUUCUCUAAGGCAACUUGUACACUUUACGGGUCUGGCUUUCAAUCCUCCCUAUUGUCUUGAGGAACAUUUACUCAAAAUGUAGUUUACAGAACUUCAAAGAAGUAGAUGGCUUGAAGUUAUUAUUUGAGGAGGUGGAAGGAUUUGGUUUGUGGUUUGUGGAAGAGGAUUGAUGAGUCUGAGAAGAUCAAGCAACAAUUGGCAGAGUGUUUGGGAAUUCCACGAUAUUAAAUCGCAGACUCACAGUCCCUAUCCACAGGUGUUAAAGAUCAUAACUACAAAACUUGGAAUUACAAAAGGCAAAUACAUGCAUCUUUUUUAGUCGAAACCCAGUCUUAGAGUGGGGAAAUAAUUACUACAAAACUUGGGUUUACCAAGGGCAAGAAUAUAUGGAGCUUGGCCUCUAGUCUUUGAGUGAAGAGUUCUUCACUCGUUUAUAUUCACUAUUUUUGGAUAUGUUAUGUGUACUUGAAUAACUAGUAUGCUCGUGUACUUUUGAAUGAAAGAAACUUUUAUUCA